This 507-nucleotide ribosomal RNA is filed under the name uncultured bacterium. RNAcentral describes it as "partial 16S ribosomal RNA". It matches the Rfam family "Bacterial small subunit ribosomal RNA", at positions 28 to 507 of the family's 1533-position model. The record is from RNAcentral.
GACGAACGCUGGCGGCGUGCCUAAUACAUGCAAGUCGAACGCUUCUUUCCUCCCGAGUGCUUGCACUCAAUUGGAAAGAGGAGUUGCGGACGGGUGAGUAACACGCGGGUAACCUACCCAUCAGAGGGGGAUAACACUUGGAAACAGGUGCUAAUACCGCAUAACAGUUUAUGCCGCAUGGCAUAAGAGUGAAAGGCGCUUUCGGGUGUCGCUGAUGGAUGGACCGCGGUGCAUUAGCUAGUUGGUGAGGUAACGGCUCACCAAGGCCACGAUGCAUAGCCGACCUGAGAGGGUGAUCGGCCACACUGGGACUGAGACACGGCCCAGACUCCUACGGGAGGCAGCAGUAGGGAAUCUUCGGCAAUGGACGAAAGUCUGACCGAGCAACGCCGCGUGAGUGAAGAAGGUUUUCGGAUCGUAAAACUCUGUUGUUAGAGAAGAACAAGGACGUUAGUAACUGAACGUCCCCUGACGGUAUCUAACCAGAAAGCCACGGCUAACUACGUG